This 1002-nucleotide small RNA is filed under the name Homo sapiens (human). RNAcentral describes it as "BCRC-3". Lineage: Eukaryota; Metazoa; Chordata; Mammalia; Primates; Hominidae. The record is from RNAcentral.
UGACUCGAUGGAAACAGAAGAAAAGACAAGCAGUGCAUUUGUAGGAAAGACACCAGAAGCCAGUCCAGAGCCUAAGGACCAGACUUUGAAAAUGAUUAAAAUUUUAAGUGGUGAAAUGGCUAUUGAGUUACAUCUGCAGUUCUUAAUACGAAACAAUAAUACAGACCUCAUGAUUCUAAAAAACACAAAGGAUGCAGUACGGAAUUCUGUAUGUCAUACUGCAACCGUUAUAGCAAACUCUUUUAUGCACUGUGGGACAACCAGUGACCAGUUUCUUAGAGAUAAUUUGGAAUGGUUAGCCAGAGCCACUAACUGGGCAAAAUUUACUGCUACAGCCAGUUUGGGUGUAAUUCAUAAGGGUCAUGAAAAAGAAGCAUUACAGUUAAUGGCAACAUACCUUCCCAAGGAUACUUCUCCAGGAUCAGCCUAUCAGGAAGGUGGAGGUCUCUAUGCACUAGGUCUUAUUCAUGCCAAUCAUGGUGGUGAUAUAAUUGACUAUCUGCUUAAUCAGCUUAAGAACGCCAGCAAUGAUAUCGUUAGACACGGUGGCAGUCUGGGCCUUGGUUUGGCAGCCAUGGGAACUGCACGUCAAGAUGUUUAUGAUUUGCUAAAAACAAACCUUUAUCAGGAUGAUGCAGUAACAGGGGAAGCAGCUGGCCUGGCCCUAGGUUUGGUUAUGUUGGGCUCUAAAAAUGCUCAGGCUAUUGAGGACAUGGUUGGUUAUGCACAAGAAACUCAACAUGAGAAGAUUCUGCGUGGUCUUGCAGUUGGCAUAGCUUUAGUAAUGUAUGGGAGGAUGGAAGAGGCUGAUGCUCUCAUUGAAUCUCUCUGUCGUGACAAGGACCCAAUUCUUCGAAGGUCUGGAAUGUAUACUGUAGCCAUGGCUUAUUGUGGCUCUGGUAACAACAAAGCAAUUCGACGCCUGCUACAUGUUGCUGUAAGUGAUGUUAAUGAUGAUGUCAGGAGGGCAGCAGUAGAAUCACUUGGGUUCAUUCUAUUCAG